Non-coding RNA from Anas platyrhynchos (mallard), 540 nucleotides. NCBI's taxonomy places the organism in Eukaryota, Metazoa, Chordata, Aves, Anseriformes, Anatidae. The record is from the annotation of a RefSeq genome assembly.
AUGACCAAUGUGACCACCACCACCACCACCACCACCACCACAAUCAAUGCCAAGACCGUCAACAUCACCAAGACCAUUUUUAAUGUCACCACCAGCAUCAAUGUAACCAGCACCAGGAGCACCAGCAAUGUCACUACCAGGAGCUUGCUCGGGUUCUCUGAGUCCGGAGGGGGCCUCGUGAGUCCUGGGGGGACCCUGACCCUGGUCUGCAAGGGCUCCGGCUUCACCUUCAGCAGCUACCACAUGGGAUGGAUCCGACAGGCACCCGGGAAGGCGCUCGAGUUCAUCGCGAGUAUUAACAGCGGUGGUAGUAGCACAUGGUACGCGUCGGCGGUGAAGGGACGCUUCACCAUCUCCAGGAACAACGGGCAGAGCACGCUCACCCUGCAGAUGAACAGCCUCAAGGCCGAAGACACCGCCACCUACUACUGCGCGAAAGAGGCAUACAGUGGUUCUUGUGAUCCUAAUGAAAUUGAUGCUGGUCCUGGUGCUGCUGGUGAUAUUUGUUCUGGUUCUGGUCCUGAUAAUCGUACUGGUGAU